CUGCAGCUCGAGUGGUGAUCACUAUUAUUGGGCCUAAAACGUCCGUAGCCGGUCUUAUAAAUGCCUGGGUAAAUCGUGCCGCUUAACGGUACGAAUUCCGGGUAGACUGUAAGACUUGAGACCGGGUGAGGCUAGAGGUACUCCUGGGGUAGAGGUGAAAUUCUGUAAUCCUGGGGGGACCACCAGUGGCGAAGGCGUCUAGCUAGAACGGGUCUGACGGUGAGGAACGAAGCCCUGGGGCGCAAACCGGAUUAGAUACCCGAGUAGUCC
Molecule: ribosomal RNA, 270 nt
Filed under: uncultured archaeon
Lineage: Archaea
Description: partial 16S ribosomal RNA
Rfam family: Archaeal small subunit ribosomal RNA
Source: RNAcentral